UAGGGAAUCUUCGGCAAUCGGACGAAAGUCUGACCGAGCAACGCCGCGUGAGUGAAGAAGGUUUUCGGAUCGUAAAACUCUGUUGGUAGAGAAGAACGUUGGUGAGAGUGGAAAGCUCAUCAAGUGACGGUAACUACCCAGAAAGGGACGGCUAACUACGUGCCAC
RNAcentral lists this ribosomal RNA (166 nucleotides) under uncultured bacterium. RNAcentral's name for it is "partial 16S rRNA". It matches the Rfam family "Bacterial small subunit ribosomal RNA", at positions 355 to 511 of the family's 1533-position model. The record is from RNAcentral.